UACGGGGGGGGCAAGCGUUGUUCGGAAUUACUGGGCGUAAAGGGCUUGUAGGUGGCCAACUAAGUCAGACGUGAAAUCCCUCGGCUUAACCGGGGAACUGCGUCUGAUACUGGAUGGCUGGAGUGUGGGAGAGGGAUGCGGAAUUCCAGGUGUAGCGGUGAAAUGCGUAGAUAUCUGGAGGAAUACCGGUGGCGAAGGCGGCAUCCUGGACCAUAACUGACGCUGAGGCGCGAAAGCUAGGGGAGCAAACGGG
RNAcentral lists this ribosomal RNA (253 nucleotides) under uncultured bacterium. RNAcentral's name for it is "partial 16S ribosomal RNA". It matches the Rfam family "Bacterial small subunit ribosomal RNA", at positions 524 to 776 of the family's 1533-position model. The record is from RNAcentral.